This 775-nucleotide ribosomal RNA is filed under the name uncultured Neocallimastigales. Its description in RNAcentral is "partial large subunit ribosomal RNA". It matches the Rfam family "Eukaryotic large subunit ribosomal RNA", at positions 24 to 635 of the family's 3401-position model. The record is from RNAcentral. Lineage: Eukaryota; Fungi; Neocallimastigomycota; Neocallimastigomycetes; Neocallimastigales.
UAUCUCUGUAGAGUCUGCAUAUCAAUAAGCGGAGGAAAAGAAACUAACUAGGAUUCCCUCAGUAACGGCGAGUGAAGCGGGAAGAGCUCAAAUUUGAAAUCUUCAAGGUUCUACCUUGACGAAUUGUAGUUUAAAGAAGUGUUUUCUGUUGGAGUUUUGGUAAAAGUUCUUUGGAAUAGGACAUCAUAGAGGGUGAGAAUCCCGUAUUUGACCAUUACUUCCAGCGUUGUGAUACACUUUCAAAGAGUCGGAUUGUUUGGGAAUGCAGGUCCAAAAUGGGUGGUAAAUUUCAUCUAAAGCUAAAUAUUGGCGAGAGACCGAUAGCGAACAAGUACCGUGAGGGAAAGAUGAAAAGAACUUUGAGAAGAGAGUUAAACAGUACGUGAAAUUGUCAAAAGGGAAGCGUUUGACACCAGUGUUGUUUUUCUGAAAAUCAAUUAAAGAACUGUUUAUGCUAAGUUGUUUAGACUUUAUCAGCUAACUGUUUAGUUUUGAGCUUUUCUUUAAUGCACUUUUCAGUUAACAAGUCAACAUCAAUUUCUUUUGCUGUAAAAAAGCUUGAGGAAGGUGGCUUGAGAUUCGUCUUAAGUGUUUAUAGCCUCUUGCCUAUGCAGUCGGAGAGAUUGAGGUCUGCAGCGUAGAUCCUUCGGGGCUAAAUGCAUUUGUGCUAAGUUAUAGCAUUUUAUAGACAACUUGUUGACUAUGAUUUGUCUUGUAGCUUACUCGCUUAUGUUAUUUUACCUACGCUUAGGAUGUUGACGAUCAGCUGAGCGCG